Molecule: ribosomal RNA, 1462 nt
Filed under: uncultured Bordetella sp.
Lineage: Bacteria; Pseudomonadati; Pseudomonadota; Betaproteobacteria; Burkholderiales; Alcaligenaceae
Description: partial 16S-23S ribosomal RNA intergenic spacer
Rfam family: Bacterial small subunit ribosomal RNA
Source: RNAcentral
GGUUCGAUUAUGGCUCAGAUUGAACGCUGGCGGGAUGCUUUACCUGCAUGCAAGUCGAACGGCGGCACGGACUUCGGUCUGGUGGCGAGUGGCGAACCGGGUGAGUAAUGUAUCGGAACGUGCCUAGUAGCGGGGGAUAACUGCACAGCGUAGCUAAUACCGCAUACACCCUUCGGGGGAAAGCAGAGGACCUUCGGGCCUCGCACUAUUGGAAACGGCCGAUAUCGGAUUGGCUAGUUGGUGGGGUAACGGCUCGCAGGGCGACGAUCCGUAGCUGGUUUGAGAGGACGACCAGCCACACUGGGACUGAGACACGACUGAACUCUGAGGCAGCAGUGGGGAAUUUUGGACAAUGGAGGAAACCCUGAUCCAGCCAUCCCGCGUGUGCGAUGAAGGCCUUCGGGUUGUAAAGCACUUUUGGCGGGAAAGAAACGGCGCAGGAUAAUACCCCGUGCAACUGACAGUACCACCAGAAUAAGCACCGGCCCCUAACUACGUGCCAGCAGCCAUGAUGACACGUAGGAUGCAGGCGUUAAUCAGAUUACUGGGCGUAAAGCGUGCCGGUGGUUCGAAGAAAGAUGUGAAAUCCCGAGCUUAACUUUGGAACUGCAUUUUUAACUACCGAGCUAGAGUGUGUCAGAGGGAGGUGGAAUUCCGCGUGUAGCAGUGAAAUGCGUAGAUAUGCGGAGGAGCACCGAUGGCGAAGGCAGCCUCCUGGGAUGCUUACUGACGCUCAUGCGAAAGUGUGAGGGCAAACAGGAUUAGAUACCCUGGUAGUCCACGCCUAAACGAUGUCAACUAGCUGUUGGGGCCUUCGGGCCUUGGUAGCGCAGCUAACAUGAGGUGAAGCCACCACCAAGGAGAUACGGUGCCGAAUUAAAAACUCAAAGGAAUUGACGGGGACCGCACAAGCGGUGGAUGAUGUGGAUUAAUUCGAUGCAACGCGAAAAACCUUACCUACCCUUGACAUGUCUGGAAUCCCGAAGAAGUUCCGGGAUGCUCGCAGAGAACCGGAACACAGGUGCUGCAUGGCUGUCGUCAGCUCGUGUGUUGAGAUGUUGGGUUAAGUCCCACAACGGAAGCGCAACCCUUGUCAUUAGUUGCUACGGACACUCAAUGAGACUGCCGGUGACAAACCGGAGGAAGGUGGGGAUGACGUCAAGUCCUCAUGGCCCUUAUGGGUAGGGCUUCACGCAUCAUACAAUGGGUCGGAAUGAAGGUGUAGCCCGCGAGAGACCAAUCCCAGAAACCCGAUCGUAGUCCGGAUCGCAGUCUGCAACUCGACUGCGUGAAGUCGAAUCGCUGUGUGUGGAUCAGCAUCGCGGUGUCCGUUCCCGGAGUCCCUUUACACACCGCCCGUCACACCAUGGGAGUGGGUUUUACCAGAAGUAGUUAGCCUAACCGUAAGGAGGGCGAUUACCACGGUAGGAUUCUUGACUGGGGUGAAGUCGUAUUUCAGUAG